AACGAACGCUGGCGGCAUGCCUAACACAUGCAAGUCGAACGAAAACUCCGGGUCUUGUGGCGCACGGGUGCGUACGGAGUGGGAAGCUGCACUUAGGUUCGGUAUAACUCCCCGCAAGGGAUGCCUAUGCCGGUUCAUGUCUUCGGACCUAAGAUUUAUCGCCUUUGGAUGGGAUCGAGUUGGAUUAGGUAGUUGGUAAGGUAAAAGCCUAACAAGGCGAUGAUUCAUAACUGGUCUGGGAGGAUGACCACCGACACUCGGACUGAGGCACAGCCCAGAAUCCUACGGAAGGCAGGAGAGGGGAACAUAGUACAAUGGGCGAAGGCCUGAUGCAGCAGUGCCGCGUGAGAGAUGAAGGCCGUAGUGUUGUAAUGCUCUUGUACCCGGGAUGAUAAUGACAGUACCUGGAGAAGAAGCUCCGGCUAACUCCGUG
Molecule: ribosomal RNA, 433 nt
Filed under: uncultured bacterium
Lineage: Bacteria
Description: partial 16S ribosomal RNA
Rfam family: Bacterial small subunit ribosomal RNA
Source: RNAcentral